Molecule: ribosomal RNA, 482 nt
Filed under: uncultured bacterium
Lineage: Bacteria
Description: partial 16S ribosomal RNA
Rfam family: Bacterial small subunit ribosomal RNA
Source: RNAcentral
AUUGAACGCUGGCGGCAUGCUUUACACAUGCAAGUCGAACGGUAACAGGCCGCAAGGUGCUGACGAGUGGCGAACGGGUGCGUAAUGCAUCGGAACGUGCCCAGUCGUGGGGGAUAACUACUCGAAAGAGUAGCUAAUACCGCAUACGAUCUAUGGAUGAAAGCGGGGGACCGUAAGGCCUCGCGCGAUUUGAGCGGCCGAUGUCAGAUUAGGUAGAUGGUGGGGUAAAGGCUCACCAAGCCAACGAUCUGUAGCUGGUCUGAGAGGACGACCAGCCACACUGGGACUGAGACACGGCCCAGACUCCUACGGGAGGCAGCAGUGGGGAAUUUUGGACAAUGGGCGCAAGCCUGAUCCAGCAAUGCCGCGUGCAGGAAGAAGGCCUUCGGGUUGUAAACUGCUUUUGUACGGAACGAAACGGCUCUGGUUAAUACCCGGGGCUAAUGACGGUACCGUAAGAAUAAGCACCGGCUAACUACGUG